RNAcentral lists this ribosomal RNA (382 nucleotides) under Salmonella enterica subsp. enterica serovar Derby. RNAcentral describes it as "bacterial SSU rRNA". It matches the Rfam family "Bacterial small subunit ribosomal RNA", at positions 69 to 447 of the family's 1533-position model. RNAcentral also lists the same sequence under 6 other names. The record is from RNAcentral. Lineage: Bacteria; Pseudomonadati; Pseudomonadota; Gammaproteobacteria; Enterobacterales; Enterobacteriaceae.
GUAACAGGAAGCAGCUUGCUGCUUUGCUGACGAGUGGCGGACGGGUGAGUAAUGUCUGGGAAACUGCCUGAUGGAGGGGGAUAACUACUGGAAACGGUGGCUAAUACCGCAUAACGUCGCAAGACCAAAGAGGGGGACCUUCGGGCCUCUUGCCAUCAGAUGUGCCCAGAUGGGAUUAGCUUGUUGGUGAGGUAACGGCUCACCAAGGCGACGAUCCCUAGCUGGUCUGAGAGGAUGACCAGCCACACUGGAACUGAGACACGGUCCAGACUCCUACGGGAGGCAGCAGUGGGGAAUAUUGCACAAUGGGCGCAAGCCUGAUGCAGCCAUGCCGCGUGUAUGAAGAAGGCCUUCGGGUUGUAAAGUACUUUCAGCGGGGAGG